Long non-coding RNA from Equus quagga, 562 nucleotides. RefSeq lists it as uncharacterized. The record is from RefSeq and is a predicted model, not a curated record. The transcript has 3 exons. Lineage: Eukaryota; Metazoa; Chordata; Mammalia; Perissodactyla; Equidae.
CCUGCUUGUCUGAGGGCGGCGAGGAAUCCGCAGUGGCGUGAAGGCUGAGGGCAGAAGAGCGGGGCACGUGCUCAGAGGCCCUGGGCAGGCCCGGCAGACGGGGACGUGUGAUUGGAUGAUGGCGAAGAUGGUAGGUUCCUGCGGUGUCCAGGCUGGGCUGUCACGUGGAUGAGGUGGUGGCAUUACUAGUCAUGCCUGUCCGAGCUGCUGUGGGCGAUGUGGCCACCCCCCACCUCUUCACUGAGCAGCUCUAAGCUGCACCUGCCCAGGAUUCAGGAUGCUCACUGCUCUAGGAUCUGCCCCACGUGGAGUCGCAUCACUCUCUUCGGUCUCUCUGUCCAGCCCUCUGCAGCCUCAGGCCAUGAGCUGGAGCCUUUGUGGCUGUGCCUUUGCCCAUAAACAGGUCCCCUAUCCUGCCCUCAGGGAAGCUGGGACAGGCUCUCUCCCAGCCCUCUUUGCCCCGAGUAGGUCGGCCCUGCCUUCACUCAUACUGUCGAGACUGGUUGGUGUGGGCUGAAGCUCUUGAGGUGUGGUGCAGAAGUGGGUUCUGACCAGAGAGCAA